AUACGGAGGAUGCGAGCGUUAUCCGGAUUUAUUGGGUUUAAAGGGUGCGUAGGGGGUAAUUUAAGUCAGCGGUGAAAGUUUGUGGCUCAACCAUAAAAUUGCCGUUGAAAAUGGGUUACUUGAGUGUGUUUGAGGUAGGCGGAAUGCGUGGUGUAGCGGUGAAAUGCAUAGAUAUCACGCAGAACUCCAAUUGCGAAGGCAGCUUACUAAACCAUAACUGACACUGAAGCACGAAAGCGUGGGUAUCAAACAGGAUUAGAUACCCUGGUAGUCCACGCAGUAAACGAUGAUUACUAGGAGUUUGCGAUACACGGUAAGCUCUACAGCGAAAGCGUUAAGUAAUCCACCUGGGGAGUACGCCGGCAACGGUGAAACUUAAAGGAAUUGGCGGGG
Molecule: ribosomal RNA, 393 nt
Filed under: uncultured bacterium
Lineage: Bacteria
Description: partial 16S ribosomal RNA
Rfam family: Bacterial small subunit ribosomal RNA
Source: RNAcentral